Molecule: non-coding RNA, 4502 nt
Organism: Manis javanica (Malayan pangolin)
Lineage: Eukaryota; Metazoa; Chordata; Mammalia; Pholidota; Manidae
Source: RefSeq, a predicted model, not a curated record
CCCUAGUGCCUCUGCCCUGAGCUGCCACACACCUGUGCGGGACUGUACUUUGAUGGAUGACAGGACCCACUUGGACACCCGCAGCUGGAGGCACUGAAACUAAUUUCCAUGGAGAUCCAGCUAUCUGAAGACCUAGAAGCUUCCCUUCUGCAAGGCAGCAAGCCCAGCUCCCAGCCUUCACUCCUGCAGAGAGACCCUUUGUCAUGCAAAUGAUGGUUCUACCCCCACAGACACCCCCACCCACAGCUGAGAGUGACGCCCCCGCCCAGGUCCCCUUUUGGGAGAUCGGCACUGCACCGGGAGCAGAACUGACAGCCUCAGCUACUACAAAGACACUUCCACAGAAGCUGCUGUGAGUUCCUGCCCCGCUCGACCCCUUCUCCUGGGUAGCGCCUUCAGUCCUGGGUUCUUGAGCCCGGUCCUGGCUGCAGAUGUGAUAAGCUGCCUGGCCUUGACCAGGUCACUCCCGCAGGCCACAGCCAUGACACCUGGGACAGGAGAACUAAUGCCCUGUGCCUUCCAGGAGAGGUGUGGGCACCGCGGAGCAGCCCUAGCCUCCAGGCGCAGCCCCUGCGCCUCGUGCCAGGCGGCUCCAUCAGUACCAGUGUCCGCACUCUUUCCCCCAGUCCUCCUCUGCUUUCUCCAGUCCCGUCUGGAGACAGACUCAAAUAAGGCAGCAGUGGACUCAGCUUGAACAAGCCCCUGCUGGCAGGUUAACCUGGAGGCACUAACCCAUGCGGAACUAAAAAUAAAGAAAAAGGCUCCAUCGUAGGAUGAAGUUUCUCAGCCUUGGCACUGCUGACAUUUGGGGUCCAAUCAUUCUUUGUUGGGGGGUGUCCUGGGCACUGUGGCAUGUUCAGCAACCUACCGGGCCUCUGCCCACUAGGUGCCAACACACCCCUAGAUCCUACCAAAGGUCCCACUGGAGGAAGGGAAGGAGGCAGUCAGCCCGGAAGCAAAUAACUGCCGUACCGAAGGAGUUGUUCAGUAUUAAAGGCGAUAAAGAUACUAACUGUGACACCUAACAACAACCAAAAGCAGGAAAUCCUCAUUUCCUCCUCAGGAAGAAGCCUCUCCCCACAAAUCUGUACAAACAUCACCUGGCCAGUAUGCAGAGAAAGUCUCCACCCACCCAGAGUUGGAGGUUUACUUGGAUUUCACAGCUGGAAUGAAGCACUUUGAAUCUGGAAGGCACAAGCCUAUAGGAGUAAAGAACGAUGAUGGUAAAUGACACCCACCACAGACCAAACUUUGUGCUACAAAACUGGUGAAGAAGAGGUUACAAUGAACAUUCUACAGCACGGGCAGAAGAGAGACGUGCGAAGCCAACGGAAAGCUGCAUGACUCCUCUAUGUAGACACGGUGCCAGUCUCGCCAUCUUUGACCUACUGUAGUCAGACUCCUGCUGGUACCCUACCUACCAAAAUAAUCUGAAAAUCAUGGAGAAAAGCCUUUGAAACCAGCCAGAUGGGUUUAUAGGAGGACUAAAAUGGAAGAAAAGAGAGAGAAAGAGGACAGCUGCAUAAAAGGUUGCUGGCAGUUUGCAGUUUCUGAAGGUGGUACCUCUAUAGCAGAAGCCUUCUCUGAAUAUUCCAUGAGAAUAUCUACCCAGACUUCAUUUUCUUUUGAAAAAUUAAUGGAAACAGGCUGUUUAGUUACCCAAAGCACAAAAACAGCCAUAAACAACAUAUGAAUGAAUGAGUGUGGCUAUGUUCAACAAUACUUGAUUCCAAAAAUGGGCAGCUGGCCCAUGGGCCAUGUUUACCGAUCCUGCAUCUAGGACAUGAAGAUGAACCAGCAAAGGAGACUGAGAAGUAGCAGCCCGUGAGUGGGAGCCACUUGAGGUAAGAUGCAAGCUUGGGUUGUUCUUGUCUUCCACACGGUGCUCACCUUGUGCCUCACACACACUGGGACUCAGCUGUUUGCACGUGCUGAUUGAAAGAUAAAAGCAACCAGGAAGACCAAAGGGGAAAGGACAAGAGCAAAUGGGACAACUGUCUGAAGGUUGGCCUUGAGAGCCUCAGAACUGGAGCGUCACUGGAGAGCCCCACAGGUGAGAGAUGUAGGCAUCGACAGUUAAUGUGAAAAUCUCCUGGAAGUUUUUAGCUGUGGAAAUGCUGCCGUGGAGAUGCUGUUAGGUUAGAUUCUGGCCAGACUUUGCUUCAGCGAUAUUAGAAUUUCCACCGAGAAAGCAAAUUUGUGCUGCUUAACACACUCCUACAAGAAAUUUUGUGAUAUUUUAUACAUAUUUUACAUCCAUUAUAGGCAGUCAGAAUCUAUUCCAUAGAUGGCACUUUCCAACAAACCAUGCUGAAUUCUUCAGACACUCAUUAUUUACCAGAACACAUAAAAAGUCCUAAAGCCCGUAUCUGCCUCCAGACUGUUCAGACCACCUCACUUCCCUCUCUCUCCUAUUUCGCAUCCCCCAUCCGGUCAUUCCCCUCAAGGUCCCGGGAACACAUCUGAGGCCUCCCCAUCACUGACAUUGCUCUUCACCAGGAUGCCCUCCCUACUGGCUAAUUUAGGGAUUAAUUCUGUAUCAUUUCAAAUUAUUCUCUGUUUACAUAUUCCAGUCAAACCAAACUGCAGUGUCAGCUGAAACAGAGACUGGUCAAUGGCCUGCGGUGGUUAAGGGAACAGAUGCUAGAGUCAACCGCCUGUGUUACAAUCCAGGUCUUGUUAAGUAGCCAGACACUUAACCUCUCUGUGCUUUGAUUCCUCAUCUGUAAAUGAGGAUGAAGAUGCUAACAGCCAACAAUAACCUUACUGAGAAGGUUUGUUGGAAGGAUUAAAAGAGUUGCAAUAUGGGAAAUAUUUAAAAGAAUGCAUGGUCCCUAAUACUGUAUAGGUGUUCAUGCUUAUUAUCUCCCACAUCACUUAGCACCCUGGUGAAUAUGUGGUUUUAUCAGUAAAGACAUGUUCAUCAUGUCUAUAACUUUUUCUUGCAUAUGCAGUACAUAUACAAUGUAUAACAAUUAGAAAAUGCUUCUAUGAUAUAGCAAAUAUAUAUGAUAAAAGAAAAAUGCUAGCAAUACCACUGCCCAGAGGUACUACUAUUAGUAUUUUCACUUACUUCAUUCAUUACUUAAACAACAUUUACUUAGCAUCUAAUAUAUGAACGGCUUCAAGCUCUUACUGGAGCUGUAACAGUGAGCAAAAACAGACAUAAUUCUAGUCUCAUGGAGUAUAUAGUCUAGUGUGGGAGAGACAAACCUUCAUCAAGUAAUGAUACAAAAUGCAUGUCCAGCUGCAGCUGUGAUAAAUGCUUCAAGGAGUCGUUCAUGUGUAAUAAGGAGAUCUGAUCUAGUUGCAAAGGUCUGUACUCUGCUGGCUGUGAGCCAGUGACUACUGAGCUAAGAAUGAAUUUAUAGGAAUUAACUUGAAGAAGUCAGAAGGGAAGAGGGCGCCCAACAGAAGCACAGUAAAUCCAAAGGGAAGUCCAUGCUCUGGGAGGGCUCAGUGGUGAGCAGAAGGAACUAAGGGUCCCAUGUGCACUAGAGUGCAGUGUGGUGUGCGCUACACAAAGCUGGGAAGUCAGGGAAAGCGCAGACCUGGCAGAGCUAAGUACCCUUAGUUUAGAAAUUAUAUUCUGAACCAAAUUAUAUUCUAAAUUUAUUGAAUGUUACCUGUGAGGAGCCAAGUACACGUUUCAUUUACAUAAACUGGACUUAUACCAUAAUCUGCUUUUAUUAGGAUAUUUUUGAACAAUAAAUAUACAGUAAUUUCUUAUUGUUGGAAAUAUAGAUUGUUUCCAACUUUCCACUGUUACUAACAAAGCUGCGACAAAUAUUUUUGUAUAUGGACAAUUGUCCAAAUAUUUAUUGGCAUAAACUCCUGCAAGUGGACUUACUGGUUCUGCAAAUUUGUUAAUAUAUUUUAAUCAUAAUUUUGUCUGGAAAAUCGGCAUAUUCAACUGUUAGGAUUUGAUGCUGUAUGAUGCUAUGGUCUUUUGAGGUUGGUACCAGUUACAAUUGGAGGCAUUGUUGGUGACUCUCAGAACCUGCUUCUUCAUUUUCUUCACUGUGAGAAAAUGUUUUCUAUUUCUGAUCCCAUGGGUACUUCCACAAAUUCAGAUCACUCACUAACGACUGCCAAGAAAACAUCCUUAACUACAGGUCUAGAAGCCUGACAGUCCCACUCCUGGUCUCCAUAGGAGAGGAAAGACUCUCCUAUCUGCCUCUGAAGGGUCUUCCUCCGGACUUGGGACAUACUGGAAGAGCGGGCAUUGUCUGAUAUUCUUUCCUCUGCCCUGGCCACCUGCUUUGUCCAGUUCCAUUUUCAUGCAGUAAAUUCACUAAAGGCAGAUGAAGCUCAGAUUGUUCUGUUAGACCAAGUUUCUCUAUCCUGAGUUGACAACUGCCAUCUUCUCAAAAGUCUUGGUCUUCCAUCGAUCCCUUUCAACAUUGUGGAUAAAAUGAGAGUUCUUGUGGCCAGGAUUCUCACCUGGCCCUGAUUGACUAGCUCACUGAACACCUGUGGGCAAUUUGACUCUGUAUAAAGAG